This is an RNA transcript of Leptopilina heterotoma, 937 nucleotides long. RefSeq lists it as uncharacterized. Lineage: Eukaryota; Metazoa; Arthropoda; Insecta; Hymenoptera; Figitidae. The record is from RefSeq and is a predicted model, not a curated record. The transcript has 3 exons.
UUGAUGAAGGAAGUUUUGAGUUUCGUGGAGCGUGGAGUCACGAGCACGGAGAGUUUUUUGCUGUUGAAGUUGGCCGAAAUUGAGGACGCUCAACGUGCCUCUUUUGCGAGAGGGGAGAGGGGAGUACGUGUGAUUGUGUCUCCGUGGCAGGAUGCGGAGCUGAGGGAGGGUACUGGGCCUUGGCCUCUUAUGACCUCCCGAUGCUACCCUGAGUAUGCUCCUUACGAUAAAUUUGUAUGGCACCAGGAGUAUAGGUGGUCCUGGGAGUUGAGAAAAUAUGAGUCUCUCUCGUUAUUAUUGGGCUCCAGAUAUGUUCAAGAGUCCCACCUCCACUCCUGUGUCGGAAGAAGAAUUAAUGGAGGAGGUGAUAGGCAUUUUGGGCGUCAACACUUGUUUUAGGUGAGUGAUUUUAUUUUGUUGUGCUCCUUUUUUUUAUUUUAACUAUUAAAAUUAUUCUUUAAUGAAGGAAAACCUUAUUUAUUUUGUUCUUUUUUUUGUGUUAUAGGAGCUUUUUGUCUUUGCCUACUGAUCCUCCUAAGCUUGGAUUUCGUCCUAAGAACCCUGCGUUGGAGCUUGUUUUUGUACAACGGUACAAAUUGGAGUGGGAGGAAAUGUUUAUAAUCUCCAAGGCUUGGGAUGUUCGCUGGAAUGUAUCAGUCCAGAGUGUUACAAACCAGAAUUUAUUUAUUUAAAAAUACCGAGCUUUUGAGAUGGCUCUAAAAUUCUACUUUGGGGAGGCACCAAACUGCCGAAUUCCUUGGGAAUUCGUUUUCCACUUUUAAAAGUUACGCACUGCUUCUAAAGAAAUGUUUGUGUGAGGAAUUUAAUGUAAGUAAAAGAGAGAAGUUAGCUUGAGAAAAACAAAGAGGUUUAUUUAUUGGUACUAAAUUUAGAAUGAUACAAUUACUUACUCUACCGGCGACAGUGGUGUCACAAU